This 429-nucleotide ribosomal RNA is filed under the name Gemmatimonadota bacterium. RNAcentral's name for it is "Gemmatimonadetes bacterium partial 16S ribosomal RNA". It matches the Rfam family "Bacterial small subunit ribosomal RNA", at positions 355 to 776 of the family's 1533-position model. The record is from RNAcentral. Lineage: Bacteria; Pseudomonadati; Gemmatimonadota.
UAGGGAAUCUUCGGCAAUGGACGAAAGUCUGACCGAGCAACGCCGCGUGAGUGAAGAAGGUUUUCGGAUCGUAAAACUCUGUUGUUAGAGAAGAACAAGGACGUUAGUAACUGAACGUCCCCUGACGGUAUCUAACCAGAAAGCCACGGCUAACUACGUGCCAGCAGCUGCGGUAAUAUGUAGGUGGCAAGCGUUGUCCGGAUUUAUUGGGCGUAAAGCGAGCGCAGGCGGUUUCUUAAGUCUGAUGUGAAAGCCCCCGGCUCAACCGGGGAGGGUCAUUGGAAACUGGGAGACUUGAGUGCAGAAGAGGAGAGUGGAAUUCCAUGUGUAGCGGUGAAAUGCGUAGAUAUAUGGAGGAACACCAGUGGCGAAGGCGGCUCUCUGGUCUGUAACUGACGCUGAGGCUCGAAAGCGUGGGGAGCAAACAGG